CAGUGUUACAGCUCUCUUAGAAUAUAUCUAGCAGGUUUUCUGGUCUUCACUGGAAAGCCUCC
This is a small nuclear RNA of Cercocebus atys (sooty mangabey), 62 nucleotides long. Its record names the gene U7. It matches the Rfam family "U7 small nuclear RNA". From Rfam's summary of the family: Animal histone pre-mRNAs are spliced by a different mechanism than nuclear pre-mRNAs and self-splicing introns. This processing involves the U7 snRNP, which contains only one RNA species: U7. The 5' end of U7 RNA is thought to base-pair to a conserved spacer element downstream of the cleavage site in histone pre-mRNA. The record is from Ensembl. NCBI's taxonomy places the organism in Eukaryota, Metazoa, Chordata, Mammalia, Primates, Cercopithecidae.